This 421-nucleotide unclassified non-coding RNA is filed under the name plant metagenome. Its description in RNAcentral is "partial contains 5.8S ribosomal RNA, internal transcribed spacer 2, and large subunit ribosomal RNA". It matches the Rfam family "Bacterial small subunit ribosomal RNA", at positions 358 to 776 of the family's 1533-position model. The record is from RNAcentral.
GGAAUAUUGGUCAAUGGACGCGAGUCUGAACCAGCCAAGUAGCGUGAAGGAUGACUGCCCUAUGGGUUGUAAACUUCUUUUAUAUGGGAAUAAAGUGGUCCACGUGUGGAUUUUUGUAUGUACCAUAUGAAUAAGCAUCGGCUAACUCCGUGCCAGCAGCCGCGGUAAUACGGAGGAUCCGAGCGUUAUACGGAUUUAUUGGGUUUAAAGGGAGCGUAGGCGGAUUGUUAAGUCAGUUGUGAAAGUUUGCGGCUCAACCGUAAAAUUGCAGUUGAUACUGGCAGUCUUGAGUGCAGUAGAGGUGGGCGGAAUUCGUGGUGUAGCGGUGAAAUGCUUAGAUAUCACGAAGAACUCCGAUUGCGAAGGCAGCUCACUGGAGUGUAACUGACGCUGAUGCUCGAAAGUGUGGGUAUCAAACAGG